This 525-nucleotide long non-coding RNA is filed under the name Homo sapiens (human). RNAcentral describes it as "HSALNT0300709". The record is from RNAcentral. Lineage: Eukaryota; Metazoa; Chordata; Mammalia; Primates; Hominidae.
ACAGACUAUAGGCAAUCAAUUAUGGAUUUCAAAACUAUGAACUUCACACGGGCGGAUAUAAGCUCUUCUUUUCCACAGCUUUUGUGGAUCCCGUGUGCACUAGACAUGUGGCCAUGACAUGUGGAUUGAGGGAGCGUGCCAGGGUCAUUAUGUCAAAACAGAAACUCAGAGACAUUAAGCUACUUGUUCCAGGUUGCAGAUCGGGUAAGUGAAGAGCUGAGAAUGACAUGCUGGUCUUCUCACCCCAAAGCUCAUGGUCUGCUACCUCCACAAUUGUCUACACUGCAAGAACAAGCCUCUUGUUACACAGGCUGGUCAGUCAUUCCCAAAGACCUUUUAGUGGAAUCCCUCUCCUCCUCUGGAUGUAUCCAUACCAAUUUGGAACAACUGUGAUUUUGUUGUGAUAAUUGAAAAGGAUUUGAUGAUUCUGUAUAUUAUGUUGGUACAAGCAGGCUUUACCUGUAAGAAACAUCUGUUCUUUCUGGAUGACAACAUUAUUCUGAGAUGGAAUAAAAAUGCAGAAGA